ACAAACAGGACCUGGAACAUCCAGGGAGCGUCUGGGCUGCAGGUAGGUGUCGCCUUAUACACUUUACACCAGGCCCCUCCCCACCUCCCCAUUUAGAGCCUCCAGGACCAAUCGUAUCAGAAUCUCCGGGGCAGGACCUGGGGGCAUCCAUGCUUUUUAAAGCCUUCCAGGUGUUUGCAGUGUGCAGAUAAGGUUCAGGGCCACUAAUUUAAACCCUAAAAGUCUUAUACCAGAUCUUUCUAUAGUUUGGGGUGUGCUACUUUCCUGUCUGUGGAAAUCCUGCUUGUCCUACAGGGCUCAUCUCAGCCGCCCCUUCUUAGGUGAAGCCUUCCUUGACUUCCCAGUUUCCUGAGGCAAAGUUAAUUGCUUCCCCACCAUCAUUAAUUCUGGUGGGGUCCAGGCCGUGCCUGGGUGCAAAUCCUGCCUCCAUGACUUCCUAGUUGUACCGUGGCCACAUCUCUCCACUUCUGCAAGCCUCAAUCUUUUUAUCUGUAAAAUGAGGCUAACAAUAAAAGUACCUAUUUUAUGGGGUUAAUGUUCAGUUAAAUGCAAUAAUCUGCUUAUAACAGUGGUGGUCAGUAAAUGCUAGCCAUUUCUUAUAACUCAAAUUCUUUUCUGCCUUUUCUGCACUUUCAAAAUGCAAACUCCUUGAAAGUGGAACGAGUCCACCCCAGCCUCAUGCUCCCCGUACUCUGUCUACACUGUGCUCUGCACGUAGCAGUAUUCAAUAACUAUUUGAUGAACAAAUGAAUCAGAAGGGAAUCCUUAUGUGACAUUAGAACUUGCUUCCCAGUUUAGCUCUGGCAUAAAUCCAGAGUCCAUAUAUUGAUUUGUUGAGCAAUGUUUUCCUUUAUUGAGUUCUUACUAUAUACUAGGCUCUGAGAAUUUAAAGAUAAACACACAAUUGCUGUCAUUGAGGAGAGUCUGGAGGAGGACACAGAUUCAUGAUUUUGUUAUUUUAUUAUGCUUGUAACAUUGUCUCAGAAGUGCCACCGGGGCACAAAGGAAAAAGAGGGGAAGGGGAGGGAGGAGGGAAGUGUUAGUGCAGAAGAUACAAAGAGAAGGAGCUUGCCGGGUGGAGAGGCAGGGAAGGGCAUUGGAGCUGAAGGAACAGCACCUGCUAGGCCAGAAAGGCCCAAGAGGGCGAGCUGCAAUCCGAGGAUGGUGUGGUACACCAGGAAAGCCGUAGGGGGAUGGAACUGGCCAGGCAGACUGUGGCUGGAAUGGGAGAGGCUCGAGGGCUGGACUAAGUGGCUGGGACUUCAUCCAGCCAGCCAAGGAGGGUCUGGUCAUGUUUGUGAGCCGAGAAGGUAAACAGAGCGCACCUGGGCUGGUUUCCUUCUCUCAGGCCUUCCUGGCGGCCACGCCUUACCGAAAGGAGUCCUGACUCAGAGCUGCUGUGCCGUCCCUUCUCCUGUCCCUGCCUGGAAGAGGCCUAUCAGGUUGACCAAGCUUUGCUCCCACCUGUGGAUGAGAAGGGCAGGUGGCCGAGAGUGGGUGUGGAGGAGGAAGACUGGAUGCCAAUGAUCCUGAUCUCACUCUGUCACCAAGGCUGGAGUGCAGCAGCAGAAUUUCAGCUCACUGCAACCUCGACUUGCUGGGUUCAAGGGAUCUCCCAAGUAGCUGGGACUACAGGUGCACACCAUCAUGCCUGGCUAAUUUUUUGUAGGGAUGGGGUUUUACCAUGCUGCCCAGGCUGGUCUUGAACUUCUGAGUUCAAGCGAUCCUCCCUCCUGAGCCUCCUAAAGUGCUGGGAUUACAGGUUUAAAAAAUAUCCUGGACUUUGGAAAAUAUUCUUAUAUAAAGAAGCAAAAAGAGGAUGGAAUAGACUUGUGCUAACACUGAAACUCCAGUCAAGUUGUAAACUGAAAAAGAACGUGUUGAAACAAGGAAUUGCCCCAUAGCCUUCACAGGAUCUCACUCUGUUGCAGUGUCACUGGAGUGCAGUGGUGCAGUCUUGGCUUCCUGCACCAUCUGCCUUCCAGAAUCAAGCAAUUAUCCAGCUUCAGCCUCCCGAGUAGCUGGGACCACAGACGUGCCACCAUGCCUGGCUUAUUUUUUUAUUUUUUGUAGAGAUGGGGUUUCACCAUUGUUGCCCAGGCUGGGCUCAACUCCUGAGCUCAAAGUGAUCCAUCUGCCUCAGCCUCCCAAAGUGCUGGAAUUACAGGCUCAGUCUAUACUAGUAUAUUUACAACUAUAUUUUAUUACAAUAUUUAUUAAAUAUUGUUGUCUUUUGCUAGGAAACUUAAAAACCUUAAAGAACAUCAUUUGUGAGCUCCCAAUUGGCACAAAUUACAUAAGGUACUCUACACAUAUUUUUAUUUUCUUAACUUUUUGUUAUAACAAGUGAAAAAUCUAAAAAUCAACUGAAUAAGCUUUUAUGUUGAAAAGUAUACUUAAAUGAUUCUGGUGAUCAUGGUGUUCUAGUAAGAAAAAUGCUUUGCUAGUGAUGUGACAGCGUACGGCAUAUGAAUAAUAUUUGAAAUCUUGCUACUCUUUUCUUAUAUUCUGCCCCAAACCCAAAGGAAGUUUAAAAUGAGAAAAAAGGUAAAGGUAUGAAAGAACCUUUGGUGACUCAGGUGGCUUCAGACUUACCAGUCACAAAAACUUGCAAGCAGGUUCUAGGAGACUUCACUGCAUCCAUAUAUGCUGUUAAUAGUGUUUUUUUUUUUUUUUGAGACGGAGUCUCACUCUGUUGCCCAGGCUAGAGUGCAGUGGUGUGAUCUCGGCUCGGCUCGCUGCAACCUCCACCUCCUGGGUUCAAGUAAUUCUUCCACUUCAGCCUUACGAGUAGCUGGGACUAUAGGCACCUGCCACCAUGCCAAGCUAAUUUUUGUAUUUUUAGUAGAGACGGGGUUUCACCAUGUUGGCCAGGCUGGUCUCAAACUCCUGACCUCAAGUGCCCACUCCAGCCUCCCAAAGUGCUGGGAUUACAGGCAUGAGCCACCGCACCCGGCUUGUUAUAGUCUUAAAACACUCUACACCAGGGGUUAGUAAACGUUUCCUAUAAAGGGCCAGAUAGUAAAUAUUUUAUGUCACUACGCAACUCUCCACGGUAGCAUGGAAGCAGCCAUAGACAAUACGUAACUGAAUGAGUGUGGUGUGUUCCGGUAACGCUUUAUAGACACAGAAAUUCACUUAAAGUCCAUAUAAUUUUCACAUGCCAUGAAAUAUUUACUGUUUUUUUUUGGGGGGGGAUGGGGACAGGGUCUCACUGUCACUCAGGCUAGAGAGCAGUGGCACCAUCACGGCUCAGUGUAGCCUAGACCUCCUGAGCUCAAGUGAUCCUCCUAUCUCUCAGCCUCCUGAGUAGCUGGGAUCACAGGCAUGUGCCACUAUGCCCAGUUAAUUUUUGUAUUUUUUGUAGAGAUGAGGUUUCACCAUGUUGCCAAGGCUGGUCUUGAACUCCUGGGUUCAAGCAAUCCAGCUGCCUUGGCCUCCUGAAAUGUUAGGAUUACAGGCGUGAGCCACUGCACCCAGUGAUUUAAUAGAUGUAAAAAUCAUUCUUAGUUCUUGGGGCAAAUAAAACAGGCUUGCAGGCCAGAUUUGGCCUGGGAGGUAUAGUGUAGACUGGUCCACACGAUUGGAGAGUCAGCAGGCUCUUACUCUCAGACUUCCUGGUGGUCCUCACCAGUCUAUUUUACAGUGGCUUCUUUAUUUCCUUUCUGCCACUGUUGAUGGGACUGUAGCGUCACUGCAUGUGACUGAUACCAAAAGAGAAAGGUUCUUUUAAUUAAUCUUUCCAUACUAUCCAGAAGAUUUUUUUCAGUUUUAUUUCUUAAACAUAUAAGAGGGCAUUAUAAAAUGACAUUAUAAUUAUAAAAGAUUUUCUUUUAAGAACAAUGUUUUUAGGCCUACUAAUAUUACUUAAUAAAAAGAGCAGAUAUUUAAGAGACUGUACAUUUUUAUUUAAUAAACCACAUGGCAAAACAAUACUUUAAUAAGUGUAUAGGAAAUUACAAUGUGAAAGUUGCAAAUACAGCACAUAUAUAUAUAUAUAUAUAUACUUUGAUCUUAAUUAACAUGGACAAACCCCAGCUUCAAAAUCUUUCUAAAAUCAAUCAUAUGCAAAAUACCUGGUUUCUGAAAGGGCAUAUGAUAAAGUAUAUACAAUUUCUUAAACUGUGAUAUGGCUUAUUUAAUAACAUGUAUUUAUUGAGAGAAGCAUAAACUUUCCAAAUAUACAGUAUCUUCCAGGUAGAAAGAUGACAUACUGGCACAUUUCAAUUUUGUGUUGCAGUUAUCUGAGAAUAUACUAAAUUGCACUAUUUAAGUGGACACUGUCAUAGAUUUAACUGGGAAAGUCUCCAUAAAUGUUUUCCAAUCUUAUCAAAAAGCAAAUUGGUCCUCAAUGAUUGGAACAGCAGGUUAAACCCUUUACAAGUCAGAAUUCAGUGACUGGCAGGCCUGAGUGCACACAUGUAAUUCAAUACUGAGGAACUCCCACAACACUGUCUUCUAAUUUGCAUGCUCCCACGAACAUCACAAAUAAUAUACCUGAUUGGCAAUCAGUAAAACAAAUCUCAAGACCUGGUUGUCAAGAUUCAUACGACACAUCUGGAGUUAGGGUUUGCAAAUUGUAUUUUGGCUACAAAGAUAUUAAACUUUAUCAAUUAUUCGAAGAUCAGACUUGCCUCCCCUCAACAUAGCAUAUAGUGAUGGGUGUUCAUUUAUGACAAAUAACCAACUGGCUCAUGAGCUUGGCUUGCUUCAAAGACAAAAUGAACCAAAUGAACUAAUCUUCUAUCUAGGAAACACUCUGUAACUUUAAAUUUGCUAUAUACAAAUCAGAGCCAACAGCAAAAUUGCCUAAAACCUUAUUUCAAAUGGGCUCAUAUUCUGUAAGAACACCAUAUUAAGUUGAGCCAAUUAACAUAUAUGCAUAAAAGGAAAAUAGAUUUAGCUAACUGCUUGUUUCAAAAUCAAAUAAGUCUACAAAAGCUGUGAGAGUGGCUGAGAAACACGACCCAAAGUCUUCUUAGCAAUGAUAUUCACUGGUGGUUGUGCAGUGUAGUCUCUUUGUCUACCACACUUACUCUACGAAGUCCAGUGUGCAGAGAAAUCUGGAUCUGGAACAACCAGCCAUUUUAAAAAGGUUCUUUCAUACCUGGACAUACAUUUCUAAGCGGUGCCUUGUCUCUGAAAGAUGAUUUUCCUCACAUUAAAAUGAGAGAGAAGCUCACGUGUCUGAUCUUGACUAUGUCUAUUCUGGAAAGUCUAUGAAAGACAAACACUGUCAGGUGGAACACCUGGGUUCAAAAGGAACACUAAGUCUCGUAAGAGCAAGAAACUUAGUUUUAGAGAAUGGAAAUAAAGCACCCAAAGUUGAAAAGAAAACAGUAAAAUAAGAAACCCGGUGAUGUGGCAAAAAAACACUGAUGGGAACUCUAAGUUGUAAAAAUCUGCACUCACAUUACAUAAGGCAUAGCUAAUGGAAAUGUAUGUAGGAAUUACAAUAGCUUCCAGUUCUGCAUAUCAAAACCUUCUGAGACAUGCUUUCUUCAAUUACACUCCCAUUAUGUUUCUAAGGCAGCAUAAUUGUUAGUGGAAUAAUAGGUCUUUUCCUGAAACAGACCAAAAGGUUGCAUCUGGCCAUAGUUGUGAAACACACGUUUAUGUACACAAGUAACUCUGAUUAUUUGCAAAUACUAAUUAAAAUAUAUCACACCAAA
Molecule: long non-coding RNA, 5672 nt
Organism: Homo sapiens (human)
Lineage: Eukaryota; Metazoa; Chordata; Mammalia; Primates; Hominidae
Gene: SLC30A4-AS1
Product: SLC30A4 antisense RNA 1
Exons: 4
Source: RefSeq, a predicted model, not a curated record